Molecule: long non-coding RNA, 571 nt
Organism: Adelges cooleyi (spruce gall adelgid)
Lineage: Eukaryota; Metazoa; Arthropoda; Insecta; Hemiptera; Adelgidae
Exons: 5
Source: RefSeq, a predicted model, not a curated record
GUUGUAAUGUCGACAUAAAUAAUUAGACGUUCCAUUAACAUAAUAAAAAGUAACGCACUUUCCGCGUGGCUGACUGAUGUUAUUUUUGCAAUGCAUCAUAAUUAUUUGAACAAACUUUCUUGCCUGCCACAAAUAUUUCCGGUCAAAACAAGAUACUUUACAGCGAAGCGUAGUGUUCAAGAGAUUUUUUUAUUUGCAGAUGUUUUAUUUUUGAGGUAAAUUAACGUGAUGUAACGGUUUGCUUGGAAAAUUAUCAGUUUGGGUUUUUUGUUUUUGUGGCGGCACAUAUGGGCAGUCAAAUUUGUUUGCUAAUGGGUGACAAAUAUUCAAAGGCUUAAAGUUAUAGAUAUGAGUCAAGGUGAUAACAUUAAGUUACAAGUUUCAGAAAAAUAAAAGUACUCGUAAAACUUACAAGUACGGUGAUUUGAGAGAUCUGAAGAAUCACCCGGAGAUCAUUUUUAUUAUCUACUCGCUUAAAAGUCUAAGCUCUAAAAUAUUCUCAAUAAAUAAUCAAUAUGAUUCAUUAAGGAAUGUAGAAAAUUUAACAACUGCUUUAUAAUAUUUUGUUGAU